RNAcentral lists this ribosomal RNA (467 nucleotides) under uncultured bacterium. RNAcentral's name for it is "partial 16S ribosomal RNA". It matches the Rfam family "Bacterial small subunit ribosomal RNA", at positions 28 to 506 of the family's 1533-position model. The record is from RNAcentral.
GACGAACGCUGGCGGCGUGCUUAACACAUGCAAGUCGAACGGAAAGGCCCUGCUUUUGUGGGGUGCUCGAGUGGCGAACGGGUGAGUAACACGUGAGUAACCUGCCCUUGACUUUGGGAUAACUUCAGGAAACUGGGGCUAAUACCGGAUAGGAGCUCCUGCUGCAUGGUGGGGGUUGGAAAGUUUCGGCGGUUGGGGAUGGACUCGCGGCUUAUCAGCUUGUUGGUGGGGUAGUGGCUUACCAAGGCUUUGACGGGUAGCCGGCCUGAGAGGGUGACCGGCCACAUUGGGACUGAGAUACGGCCCAGACUCCUACGGGAGGCAGCAGUGGGGAAUAUUGCACAAUGGGCGGAAGCCUGAUGCAGCAACGCCGCGUGCGGGAUGACGGCCUUCGGGUCGUAAACCGCUUUCGCCUGUGACGAAGCGUGAGUGACGGUAAUGGGUAAAGAAGCACCGGCGAACUACGU